RNAcentral lists this ribosomal RNA (388 nucleotides) under uncultured bacterium. Its description in RNAcentral is "bacterial SSU rRNA". It matches the Rfam family "Bacterial small subunit ribosomal RNA", at positions 28 to 417 of the family's 1533-position model. The record is from RNAcentral.
GACGAACGCUGGCGGCGUGCUUAACACAUGCAAGUCGAGCGGUAAGGCCCUUUCGGGGGUACACGAGCGGCGAACGGGUGAGUAACACGUGGGUGACCUGCCCUCAGCUCUGGGAUAAGCCUGGGAAACCGGGUCUAAUACUGGAUAUGACUCCAUGACGCAUGUUGUGGGGUGGAAAGCCUUGUGCGGCUGAGGAUGGGCCCGCGGCCUAUCAGCUUGUUGGUGGGGUGAUGGCCUACCAAGGCGACGACGGGUAGCCGGCCUGAGAGAGCGACCGGCCACACUGGGACUGAGACACGGCCCAGACUCCUACGGGAGGCAGCAGUGGGGAAUCUUGCGCAAUGGGCGAAAGCCUGACGCAGCGACGCCGCGUGAGGGAUGACGGCCU